AUUGAACGCUGGCGGCAUGCCUUACACAUGCAAGUCGAACGGUAACAGGUCAAGCUGACGAGUGGCGAACGGGUGAGUAAUAUAUCGGAACGUGCCCAGUCGUGGGGGAUAACGUAGCGAAAGCUGCGCUAAUACCGCAUACGAUCUCUGGAUGAAAGCGGGGGACUCGCAAGAGCCUCGCGCGAUUGGAGCGGCCGAUAUCAGAUUAGGUAGUUGGUGGGGUAAAAGCCCACCAAGCCGACGAUCUGUAGCUGGUCUGAGAGGACGACCAGCCACACUGGGACUGAGACACGGCCCAGACUCCUGCGGGAGGCAGCAGUGGGGAAUUUUGGACAAUGGGCGCAAGCCUGAUCCAGCCAUGCCGCGUGCAGGACGAAGGCCUUCGGGUUGUAAACUGCUUUUGUACGGAACGAAACGGCUCUCUCUAAUACGGGGGGCUAAUGACGGUACCGUAAGAAUAAGCACCGGCUAACUACGUGCCAGCAGCCGCCGCGG
RNAcentral lists this ribosomal RNA (495 nucleotides) under uncultured bacterium. Its description in RNAcentral is "partial 16S ribosomal RNA". It matches the Rfam family "Bacterial small subunit ribosomal RNA", at positions 30 to 523 of the family's 1533-position model. The record is from RNAcentral.